AUGGAUCCACCACAGCGUAACCGGGCAACUGGACGGAGAAAAGAGGGCGAUGAGAAGAAGAAACGUGUUCGCAACAGAGCCUCCCAGGAACGUCUGACUCUGUUGAUUGAAAAAUUAACCGACGAUCGAAAGGGGGUUGCUGCUGAGAUGGGUAUGCAGGCUCUGAUGGAUGUCCGGUGCACGAACCUUGUCAACCCUGUAUGCGACUGGCUUGGUGAGAUCUACGAGCCUGCCUCCAGGGAAUUCGUGAUUCCGGGACGCGGAAGACUUCCGUUGAAUGAGGAAUCCAUGUUCUGCACUUUGGGUGUGCCUCGUGGACAUAUCAAAGUCCCGUACGGGGUCAAUAAUGAGAUCGAGGAAGCGAUGUUCGCCUGUUUGUUUCCUGGAUUGGAGUCCAUGCCGAACACGUCUGUACUGGCAGAUUCGCUGCAGGCCAUGACGAUGCAUGGAGAUGUUUUCAAGAUGAAGCUACUCAUGUACCUCAUCUCAGCUGUUUUCGCGCCGACCACUUCCCUUCGCCCAAGCAACAAAUGUUUCCCCAUCCUGGCGAAUCUGAAAAAUGUGAAGAACAUGAACUGGUGUAAGUUUAUUGUCGACUUUCUCCAUGAUGCUUUCAAAAACAAGAUGUACCAGAAGGGUUGUCGACUGCAUUUAAUGCUCAUGUAUGUCGACUGUCUUGAUCUGUCCACCAUGGAUUUCUCUGGGGUAGGAGGCCGGCCGCCUACGCACAAGUUUGCUAUUUCUCCAUGGACCAUCAACGCUGUCAAGGCUGUGCUUGCCGCAGACAGGGCAACUGAUACCACAUAUUGGAAACUACAGGUUAGUUUUUGUUUAUCUCUUCACACGGCAUGCUUACAAAUUUGA
This 864-nucleotide ribosomal RNA is filed under the name Triticum aestivum (bread wheat). RNAcentral's name for it is "partial small subunit ribosomal RNA". Lineage: Eukaryota; Viridiplantae; Streptophyta; Magnoliopsida; Poales; Poaceae. The record is from RNAcentral.